RNAcentral lists this ribosomal RNA (32 nucleotides) under Platanus racemosa var. racemosa. Lineage: Eukaryota; Viridiplantae; Streptophyta; Magnoliopsida; Proteales; Platanaceae. The record is from RNAcentral. RNAcentral also lists the same sequence under 2 other names.
GGGUGCGAUCAUACCAGCACUAAUGCACUGGA